CUCAUUGGGGGAAGACUGGCCGGAUCAGGGUCCCCGGGCUCCGCUUUGGCCAGACUCACCGAAAGAAGCAGUGCUGAGCGACCCUGCACCCAUCCCCACCGGUUCGCUGCCCCCGCUCUCCUUCCCCAGAAAGGAUGGGACUUCUGUGGUGUGUGAUGUGUCUCUACUUCUAUGGGAUCCUGCAGAGUGAUGCCUCAGAACGCUGUGAUGACUGGGGACUAGAUACCAUGAGGCAGAUCCAAGUGUUUGAAGAUGAGCCAGCUCGCAUCAAGUGCCCACUCUUUGAGCACUUCUUGAAAUACAACUACAGCACAGCCCAUUCAUCUGGCCUCACUCUGAUCUGGUAUUGGACGAGGCAGGACCGGGACCUAGAGGAGCCCAUUAACUUCCGCCUCCCUGACAACCGCAUUAGUAAAGAGAAAGACGUGCUAUGGUUCCGACCCACCCUCCUCAAUGACACGGGCAACUACACCUGCAUGUUAAGGAACACCACAUACUGCAGCAAAGUUGCAUUUCCUCUGGAAGUGGUUCAAAAAGACAGCUGCUUCAAUUCCUCCAUGAAACUCCCACUGCAUAAACUGUAUAUAGAGUAUGGUGUUCAGAAGAUCACGUGUCCAAAUGUAGAUGGGUUCUUUCCUUCCACUGUCAAACCAACCAUCACUUGGUACAUGGGCUGUCAGAAAAUACAGAACUUUAACAAUGUGAUACCCGAAGGCUUGAACUUGAGUUUUCUCAUAGCCUUGGUUUCGAACAAUGGAGAUUACACUUGUGUUGUUACAUAUCCAGAAAAUGGGCGUACCUUCCAUCUCACUAGGACUCUGACUGUAAAGGUGGUAGGCUCUCCAAAAGACGCGUUGCCUCCUCAAAUCUAUUCACCCAAUGAUCUUGUGGUCUACGAGAAAGAACCAGGAGAGGAGCUACUCAUCCCCUGUACAGUCUAUUUUACUUUCCUGAAGGACGCUCGCAAUGAAGUUUGGUGGACCAUUGACGGAAAAAAGCCAGACGACACCAAUAUUGAUGUAACUGUUAAUGAAAGUGUAAGUUUGACUGCAACCGAAGAUGAAACAAGAACUCAGAUUUUGAACAUCAAAAAAGUUACUGCUGAGGAUCUCAAGCGCAACUAUGUCUGUCAUGCUAGAAAUGCCAAAGGGGAGGUUGACAAAGCAGCCAAGGUGAAACAGAAAGCUCCAAGAUACACAGUGGAAUUAGCAUGUGGUUUUGGAGCCACGGUCCUGCUGGUAGUGAUUCUCAUUGUUGUUUACCACGUUUACUGGCUGGAGAUGGUCUUAUUUUACCGGGCUCAUUUUGGAACAGAUGAAACCAUUUUAGAUGGGAAGGAAUAUGAUAUUUAUGUAUCUUAUGCAAGGAAUGCUGAGGAAGAAGAGUUUGUGUUACUGACCCUCCGUGGAGUUUUGGAGAAUGAAUUUGGAUACAAGCUGUGCAUCUUUGACCGUGACAGUCUACCUGGGGGAAAUACAGUGGAAGCAGUUUUUGACUUCAUUCAGAGAAGCCGAAGGAUGAUUGUUGUCCUGAGCCCAGACUAUGUGACAGAAAAAAGCAUCAGCAUGCUGGAGUUUAAACUGGGUGUCAUGUGCCAAAACUCCAUUUCCACCAAGCUCAUUGUGGUUGAGUACCGUCCCCUUGAGCAUCCACACCCAAGUAUCUUGCAGCUGAAGGAAUCUGUGUCUUUUGUGAGCUGGAAGGGAGAAAAGUCCAAACAUUCUGGCUCUAAAUUCUGGAAGGCCUUGCGGUUGGCUCUUCCCCUGAGAAGUCUGAGUGCCAGCUCUGGCUGGAAUGAAAGCUGUUCAUCCCAGUCUGACAUCAGUCUGGACCAUGUUCAAAGGAGGAGAAGUCGUUUGAAAGAGCCCCCAGAACUCCAGGGCUCAGGGAGAGCUGCAGGCACCUCUCGAGCCCCAGACACGAUGUCCAAGCACAGAGGGAAGCCCUCUGCAGCCUGUCGCUGCUGCGUCACCUACUGUGAAGGAGAGAGUCACCUUAGGAGCAAGAGCCGGGCAGAGAUACAUACCCAGCCCCAGUGGGAGACACACCUCUGUAAGCCUGUUCCCCAAGAAUCAGAAACUCAAUGGAUACAAAAUGGCACCAGAUUGGAGCCCCCUGCUUCCCAGAUCUCAGCCCUUGCUCUUCACCAUUUCACGGAUUUAUCCAAUAACAAUGACUUCUAUAUCCUAUAAUUACCGUGUGGUGAGUGGUGGCUGUUAUCUAUAUACCAGCCCUCUUUGUGUCAUGAACCUAUGGGAGAAAUUGACAUUUUUAUCAUCUGAUGGACUGCCAGACUGUGUCCCCUUUAUUGAUUUUUAAAAACUAUUUAUUUCUAGGAGACAAAAGACCCGAGGACCUGAAUCCAGAAUUAUUCUCUCUAAUGGCCUCAGAAGAGCACACUCUUCUCCGGCCCUAGAAGGCUCUGAUUUUCUACAGUCAAGAAGGACUACAAAUCAUCCUUUUAACAAGGUGUUUGCAGGCAAUAGAUGAAAUUAGAGGGCAUGUUUAGCCCUUGAGUUGCCUCAGCACAGGAGACAAUUAAAUAGAGGAGUGGUUGGUACAGUUUAUAUCUCAUAUACAAAGCAUCAAACACUGACAUUCGGAAUCUGGUAGGAUUGCUGUAGUCAUCACAUGUAUUAACCAGAUUCAGAUAAGCUAUGCUCUGCUAACAAAUAACCAUGACAUUUUAGUAGCUUUAUAACAAGAUUUAUUUCUUGUUUAUGCUGUAUGUCCAGAUAGGGGCUUACAUUUUUGUAGUUUUGCCAUCUGAAUUGUGUGGCUUCCUGCUAUUCUAAACUCCAGCCUAAAUACGACACUUAUCACUCGCACUUACAAUCCAUUGGUCAAAACUAGCUGUGGCACUGAUCUAGUCAUAGAGAAGGCUGGAAAAUGCAUUCUUCCUGUGUUCCUGGGAAGAGAAAAAUGAAAUGGGACUUGGUGAACACAUAGCGUUGUCUUUGCCUAGGAAUGAGAUAUUGAGAUUGCCUGAACAGGCAAGAGGCAGAACUACAACCGGAGCUUUGUUACAUACUUUGAUAAUGAAGAAAUGGAAUGAUUUUCCUGCCAACACCCCACCUCUGCUCUCCAAGGUGUCAAGUCAGGUACUUAUGAAAAAACAGUGUACAGAAAUGAAUAGGGCUUGUCCCUAAUUUCCUAAAGGAAAGUUGUUGAAGGCAUGCAUAAAAAUUACAGCUCCUGGUUAAGGGAAAGCAUUCUUAAAAAUUGGUAAGUUUCUGUAUUUGGUUAAUUUCCAUUCAGCGACUUUAGGUAGUUCUCUAAGAAUGUGAUGCUCAAACCAUCUGUCAAUGAGCCAUUUCAUUUUUGAAUAUCCAGGGAGCCUCAGAAGGAUUGAAGACAUUUAGAACACAGCAGAGCAUGUAACACGGUCAUUAGAAAGACUCCCUUGAUCUAUUUAUCUGAAGAGCUAAAUGGGGAAUUCAAACUGAACGUGCUAGAGCCCAGAUGAAGGAAGAGACAAAUGCUGCUGUGGGUAUUAUGAAGUCGGCUGCUAUGUAUGCAUCUGCUCUCUCUACAAUUUGGAUUCUCUGUAACAAAGACUUGAGAUUUUAUGACUUGUCUCAUGUUGUGCAGUAUCAUUUGGUCACGAAGAAACCUCUCUUUGGGUUGGUGAAGAUCAGUGCUUAAAGAGCCUCGAUCCAUACUAACAAGUUAUGAUGCUGAACAGAGAAAAAGUUGGAUUGCUUAGUAUAGUGAGGAGAUUACUGACAUAUUCAAAAUUCUUUAGAGAGUAAUUUAUGAAGUUUUCCUCUUGGAUAAUACAAAACACUUAUAAAUAUUUAAAUGGAAAAAAUUGGCUCUUUGAAAAUGGGCUCAUAGAAAGAAAGCAGAAAGAUUCCAAAUCUGAACUCAGAUCAUAAACUAUUUUUAUCCUACUUCAGGUGAUGGGAAUUUUAAUACUCUAUUGCUUUAUUGAAAAAAAACAAAGUAAGAUCUAAGCUGACACGCGUUUAUCUUUCAUUUAAGACAUAAAGCCAUACAUAACAACUUACUACUUUUCUAUUGUUAAAAGCUAUGCUAUAUGCUUGCGGUGGGUUUAUAAUUCAAUACCAUGUUUCAAAAUACCUGAGGUAAGUGGUUCUUUUAAAAAUUGCACAUAUUCGGGGCCUACCUCAGACUACUAAAUCUCCCAAAAUGACUUAGAUGUAUACUCUUCUAAAGAAUAACUGACUUAAGUACCUUUAUAAUAUCUGCAAAUGUUUCUGUGAAAAAUCGGUGAUAACAUAUUAUAAAUUUGGAGGGAAAAAAAGGCUAAAGCAAAUCCUGAUCUUUUAGACAAUAUUUUUUUCUUAAAGAGCAAACCUUAAAACUCACUGCCAAAUACUGGAAUUUGAGUACUUUAUUUUCAUAUCUUGCUUUGAAAUUGCAUAAAAUAGGAGAAAAACAAAAUGCACAUAAUAAAAUUAUAGCAAUAAUCAAUAUAUCAAUAAUCAAGCGGAGAGCCAAAGAAGGCUGAAACGUUAGUAUUUAUUACACCCAUGUCAUCAGUCAUCUACAACAGGACAAAAUGUUCAAGGGAUAACAACUUGGCUAUUGCAAAUACAAUUAAAUGACUUCUAAGAAGAACCAAAGGAAAAAAGGGAGAAUAAGUGAACCCACUCACUCACUUACAAACCUUAGUACUAUAACAUAAAAGAGAAAAGACACCCGGAACAAUUCCCACAGCUAAAAUGUGGAGUAAGUGUCAGAGUUUGGGCAAUAAAGCUGAAUGGUCAUUUCUAUAAAUAAAGGCUUUGACAGAGUGGAAUCAGGAGACCUGAACCGAAGUGCCUGUUCUUCUCUUUACUGUGUGACUUUCAGACACUUUUGCUCUCAAGUUCUGAAUUUCCCCACAUAUUAUAUGGGAAUAGUAUAAUAUCUACCUCAUUAGACUGUUGUAAGGGUAAAAUCAUAUAAUAAAGGUGAACUUCUAACAUCUGUAAAUUACAUGCUUGGUAGUGAUAUUAUUACUAUUAUUAUUAUAUUAUAAAAGAAAGCUACGGAAAAGAAAGAGCCUUAAGAGGAGUUCCUUAUCUGGCUGACUACUGGGGUACUUUCCAGAGCACAUAGUCUAACUGUAACCCUUCGUAACAUAAAAAUUAAAGAAUAAACAAUACAAUUUCACAUGACUCUAAGUGUUGAAGAUGCCAAAAAAAAAAAAAAA
Molecule: RNA transcript, 5161 nt
Organism: Ailuropoda melanoleuca (giant panda)
Lineage: Eukaryota; Metazoa; Chordata; Mammalia; Carnivora; Ursidae
Gene: IL1RAP
Gene name: interleukin 1 receptor accessory protein
Exons: 12
Source: RefSeq, a predicted model, not a curated record